Molecule: ribosomal RNA, 254 nt
Filed under: uncultured bacterium
Lineage: Bacteria
Description: partial 16S ribosomal RNA
Rfam family: Bacterial small subunit ribosomal RNA
Source: RNAcentral
UACGUAGGGUGCGAGCGUUAAUCGGAAUUACUGGGCGUAAAGCGUGCGCAGGUGGUUGUGUAAGCUUGAUGUGAAAUCCCCGGGCUUAACCUGGGAAUGGCAUUGAGGACUGCACGGCUAGAGUGUGGCAGAGGGGGGGUGGAAUUCCGCGUGUAGCAGUGAAAUGCGUAGAGAUGCGGAGGAACACCGAUGGCGAAGGCAGCCCCCUGGGCUAACACUGACACUCAUGCACGAAAGCGUGGGGAGCAAACAGG